UACGUAGGGGGCUAGCGUUGUCCGGAUUUAUUGGGCGUAAAGAGCGUGUAGGCGGCCAGAUAGGUCUGCUGUGAAAACUCGAGGCUCAACCUCGAGAUGUCGGCGGAAACCAUUUGGCUAGAGUCCGGAAGAGGAGAGUGGAAUUCCCGGUGUAGCGGUGAAAUGCGCAGAUAUCGGGAAGAACACCCGUGGCGAAGGCGGCUCUCUGGGACGGUACUGACGCUGAGACGCGAAAGCGUGGGGAGCGAACAGG
This 253-nucleotide ribosomal RNA is filed under the name uncultured bacterium. RNAcentral describes it as "partial 16S ribosomal RNA". It matches the Rfam family "Bacterial small subunit ribosomal RNA", at positions 524 to 776 of the family's 1533-position model. The record is from RNAcentral.